CCCUGAAUGAGCCUCAAGUAAUGUAGUGGUACACUUUCACACUAUCAGGGACAAAAUGGCGGUGCAGAGCGCACUGAAGGGGACUUCGCCAUAUACGUUCAAAAACAUGAGACUCAUUCUAUGCUUAUCUCACAGGAGAUACCAUGCAAUGGAGGAAAUUCCUGCAGCCCCUCACCACACUGCUCAGAGCCAACGACAUCAGCUAUCGAUGAC
Pelobates cultripes (western spadefoot toad) is the source of this 213-nucleotide non-coding RNA. The record is from the annotation of a GenBank genome assembly. NCBI's taxonomy places the organism in Eukaryota, Metazoa, Chordata, Amphibia, Anura, Pelobatidae.